GGCCAGCGCUGGCUCCAAGGUCUCGCCUUCGCGAGCGGGCUGUGCGCUGAGGUGCUGUGGGUCCCGUUCUGUUACGUUCCCCGACCCGAGUGGGGGGCGGCUGCAGAGUGGUGGUGCGGUAGCCCCCGGGAGCCGGCCCGGCGGUACGGCUGGGCCCGGGAGCACGGCUGGGCGCAGGGCUCCCCGUACAGGCGUUGCCGGCCGCCCGGCGCUGGGGCUGUGCAGCCGGAGAGGCCCUCGGGGCGCGCCCCGGGGCUGCGCAGUGAGUCCGCGGCGCAGGAGGCCCCGCGGGUGUCGUGGGGUGGCCCCCCAUCCCCGCGCCUCUGGGGACCGGGGUAGCUGAGCUGAAGGGCUUCUUCCAGAAGCCAAUAUAGGAUUUCAGGGUGAGAGAGCGAGUUGCUGUAAGGGGCAGGUGCUCUCGGUGGCUGGAAGAGGCGGAGUGUAAAGCUUGAAAAUAAACCUGAAUGCAUUGAGGUAAAUAUCAUGCAAAGAAUGGAAAAUAAAUGCAACUUCAGAGAACAACAGACUGGAGAUCACAGGAGGAAGAAAACAAAAGCAUCAGCGGCCACUGUAACGUGCCUUAAGGCACUCGGAGGUGCGUUUGAGAAGGCAGUAGUAGGGCAAAUGGUCAGAAAGGAGGUAUCUCCACCAGUGAAGUUCAGGCUGACAGCCCACAGCGUGGAAGAGAGUUUUGUGGUUGCAACUUGGGAAGCAUCCACGUCAUUCCAAAACUUGAAGGUGGCCAGCAAUUGCAACUGUGUUUGGACAGACAGGAAACAGAGGAAGGUGAAAGAACCUGCAGCUGUCCAGUUGUUGUCCAGAAUGACUCUGGGGGACACCCUGUGACUUGCCAAAGCGCAGUUGCUGAGAAGCCUCUCCAAGCCUGCGUUUGUGGAUGAACCCAAAAAAAAAAAGGGCGGGGGCAUAACUGGGUUGAUUAUAGCUUAUUUAGUCACCCUAUUCCACUUGCACAACUGAAUAAUAAUUUCAAAACAGUGGAGGAAGACAACUUUUACUUUUGUUAAGGGUUUUGUAACACAAAAGAAAUACUACAUCCUCUUCAACACAGGGAGAUUGAUUACAGCUGAAGAUUAUUAAUUCUUAGUGAAUGAGAUUACAUGCAUCUUUUCAUAGCAUGAAUACAAUGCUAAUGGUUUGUUACAGAAGUUCUCUGGAAUACCUCCUUCCUCUUCCAGAAAAUAAAUCUUCUAAAAGCUUUUCUGAAUGCUGUAAAGAAUAUUGGUUUUAAGGACUUAUGGAGGAAGACAAUCUUGCCUCGCCAGCUUCAUCUUCCUCACAAGAGGCCACCUCCGUUUCAACCGGCGGCGCAGACAGUUUUGCCAUCAGCGGAUCGGGGGGUGGACAAGAGGGCCGCUGUGUCACUGGGACAGGAAUCCCACUAGCUGGAGCCUUGUCUUGGGUAGCUUUUCCUUGGAUGGCGAGCCCCCUCCUCUCUCGGGCUCAAGCACAGAUCAGAAGCCUGCGACAGCAUACGUCGAUCUUUUGCUCCGUGGUCGCUGCUACCAGUGCUUCUCCGAGCUCGCUGUCCGGUGGAGAAGGAUGGGGGUCCCUGUUCGGGUGCCACUUGCGACAGGCGAGGGAAACAAGCAGUCGACUCAAUAUGAGUGAUAAAGCAAGCUUCCACUUUAUUGUGGCACAAUCAGACUUUUAUAUUGCUACAACUAAUUAUACAUAUUUGGCACUUAUUCAUUGGCUAAAUUCUAAAGGUUACAUUACCAUACUCCUCCUCUUUGCAGUUUUGC
Molecule: long non-coding RNA, 1763 nt
Organism: Falco peregrinus (peregrine falcon)
Lineage: Eukaryota; Metazoa; Chordata; Aves; Falconiformes; Falconidae
Exons: 6
Source: RefSeq, a predicted model, not a curated record